Molecule: ribosomal RNA, 652 nt
Filed under: uncultured bacterium
Lineage: Bacteria
Description: partial 16S ribosomal RNA
Rfam family: Bacterial small subunit ribosomal RNA
Source: RNAcentral
UGNUCUGUCACUGACGCUGAGGCUCGAAAGCGUGGGUAGCGAACAGGAUUAGAUACCCUGGUAGUCCACGCCGUAAACGAUGAGUGCUAGGUGUUAGGCCCUUUCCGGGGCUUAGUGCCGGAGCUAACGCAAUAAGCACUCCGCCUGGGGAGUACGACCGCAAGGUUGAAACUCAAAGGAAUUGACGGGGGCCCGCACAAGCGGUGGAGCAUGUGGUUUAAUUCGAAGCAACGCGAAGAACCUUACCAGGUCUUGACAUCCCGAUGCUAUUCUUAGAGAUAGGAAGUUACUUCGGUACAUCGGAGACAGGUGGUGCAUGGUUGUCGUCAGCUCGUGUCGUGAGAUGUUGGGUNNNNNNNNNNNNNCGAGCGCAACCCUUAUUGUUAGUUGCCAUCAUUAAGUUGGGCACUCUAGCGAGACUGCCGGUAAUAAACCGGAGGAAGGUGGGGAUGACGUCAAAUCAUCAUGCCCCUUAUGACCUGGGCUACACACGUGCUACAAUGGUCGGUACAACGAGUUGCGAGCCGGUGACGGCAAGCUAAUCUCUGAAAGCCGAUCUCAGUUCGGAUUGGAGGCUGCAACUCGCCUCCAUGAAGUCGGAAUCGCUAGUAAUCGCGGAUCAGCACGCCGCGGUGAAUACGUUCCCGGGCCU